Molecule: ribosomal RNA, 1008 nt
Filed under: Triticum aestivum (bread wheat)
Lineage: Eukaryota; Viridiplantae; Streptophyta; Magnoliopsida; Poales; Poaceae
Description: partial small subunit ribosomal RNA
Source: RNAcentral
CCGAUCUUCUCGGCCUCCUGUAUCCCGGUCGUGUCCCCGUCCCCGCUGUGGCGGCCGGAUUCCUGACGUUGCGACUGGAUCACACCGCGUCCUGCCCAUCCACUGUCCCACCGUCAACACCUUCCUUUUCCAACGAUGGUGAUGCCGCCCAAGAUGGUGGUUGUGCCCCCGCUCUCUGGACGCAUCAUCACGAUAGAUGUGACCAAAGGGCAGCACGAACAGGAAGCGAAAAGCCUCCUCCUGCAGCAGCGGAGGCGAUUGGGAUGGAGCCGCUGCCACCAUUCCCCCGCCACUCUGUUUUCCCGACAAAUUCCAUGUCAUUUUCAGAGCUUCAAGUGAAUGGAGGUCGAAGGGUGCUUUAGGAAAUUAUUGUGGUGGUCACGGGGACGUCAUGCCAAAGUGUUCACCAUGUCCAAUUAUUGAUAGCUGGAAGACAUAAGUCAGGUGGCUUUUCUUGUUCGGAAUUUACUCUAUGGUCUCAUUAACAUGUUUGCAAGCUCUGUAGUAUACAACUUAUGGUUUUCCCUGCGGAAUUGCUUCCUUUACUUGUGCAAGAGGCAGAGGUGCACUCCUCUACAUGGGAGCAUGUGUACUUCUUCGGGUCACAACAAUUCAUAUGCAUACUAGCUGCAGAAUGGCGAAGCCACCAAGAAUGCAGAAACUAGCUCAUAUGUUGCGAGGAAUCACAGACCUAAUAACACAAUGCUGUCAUGAGAACGGGGCGCUCUCAUGAGGGACAUGGAGGGCCAGGGAGGUGCAAAGAUCCAUGAAACAUGUAUUGCCGUCCUCAGCGAUAUAUCAUCUUUCUAACACUUUCUUGUUCGAGUUAAUCUUUUGGUUUUCUACUGUUCCAGUUGUAUCUCCAUGGAUCUGGAAGUAUUUGUAUUGAUGAAAGGUGUCAAGUAUUCUUGGUAUGUAUCAUUGACAACAACAGUUUUGCACUAUAUGUAAUGAGCUUUCCUAACACCGUUGAGUGAGCUAUUUGUUUGGGAAAACCUGCAAUCUCAG